GGAGUGGUAGUUCAGUUGGUUAGAAUACCGGCCUGUCACGCCGGGGGCCGCGGGUUCGAGUCCCGUCCACUCCG
RNAcentral lists this transfer RNA (74 nucleotides) under Vibrio nigripulchritudo. It matches the Rfam family "tRNA". From Rfam's summary of the family: Transfer RNA (tRNA) molecules are approximately 80 nucleotides in length. Their secondary structure includes four short double-helical elements and three loops (D, anti-codon, and T loops). Further hydrogen bonds mediate the characteristic L-shaped molecular structure. tRNAs have two regions of fundamental functional importance: the anti-codon, which is responsible for specific mRNA codon recognition, and the 3' end, to which the tRNAs corresponding amino acid is attached (by aminoacyl-tRNA synthetases). tRNAs cope with the degeneracy of the genetic code in two manners: having more than one tRNA (with a specific anti-codon) for a particular amino acid; and 'wobble' base-pairing, i.e. permitting non-standard base-pairing at the 3rd anti-codon position. Lineage: Bacteria; Pseudomonadati; Pseudomonadota; Gammaproteobacteria; Vibrionales; Vibrionaceae. The record is from Rfam by way of RNAcentral.